UAUCGGUAUGGGGUGGGGUCGCGUCCUAUCAGCUUGAUGGCGGGGUAGCGGCCCACCAUGGCUUCGACGGGUAGCCGGCCUGAGAGGGCGACCGGCCACAUUGGGACUGAGAUACGGCCCAGACUCCUACGGGAGGCAGCAGUGGGGAAUAUUGCACAAUGGGCGCAAGCCUGAUGCAGCGACGCCGCGUGCGGGAUGACGGCCUUCGGGUUGUAAACCGCUUUUGACUGGGAGCAAGCCCUUCGGGGUGAGUGUACCUUUCGAAUAAGCACCGGCUAACUACGUGCCAGCAGCCGCGGUAAUACGUAGGGUGCAAGCGUUAUCCGGAAUUAUUGGGCGUAAAGGGCUCGUAGGCGGUUCGUCGCGUCCGGUGUGAAAGUCCAUCGCUUAACGGUGGAUCCGCGCCGGGUACGGGCGGG
Molecule: ribosomal RNA, 419 nt
Filed under: uncultured Bifidobacterium sp.
Lineage: Bacteria; Bacillati; Actinomycetota; Actinomycetes; Bifidobacteriales; Bifidobacteriaceae
Description: bacterial SSU rRNA
Rfam family: Bacterial small subunit ribosomal RNA
Source: RNAcentral